AUCCAGUUAACGAGUCCCAAAUAGGAUGAAACGCGCGUCCUGUAU
RNAcentral lists this non-coding RNA (45 nucleotides) under Schistosoma mansoni. Lineage: Eukaryota; Metazoa; Platyhelminthes; Trematoda; Strigeidida; Schistosomatidae. The record is from RNAcentral.